This is a long non-coding RNA of Ornithodoros turicata, 1010 nucleotides long. RefSeq lists it as uncharacterized. The record is from RefSeq and is a predicted model, not a curated record. Lineage: Eukaryota; Metazoa; Arthropoda; Arachnida; Ixodida; Argasidae. The transcript is spliced from 2 exons.
UCACUCUGUUCAAGUGUUUUGUUUUCCUCUGUUGCCCAGCAGUCGUACGAUUUGUCCUGACGUGUCCUGAUAUGCCCCAAUAUGCAUGCUUUCCUUUGUUGACGCUUAGUAUUUUUUUCUUUUUUGACAAGGAACAUUGUCGUCUUGACGAUAGUGCUGCCCCGAGUUCUGCGCGCGUUGAUUUGUUGAGUGCCUAGUCCUCUUAUUAGCCAUUGAUGGAGUUACAUGUUAGGAUGUUUUGUUCUUUUGCAAGUCUCAUUUAGUAAGACUUUGGAAUUCCUACGAUCAGUUUUCAUGCAUGGUGCUCUUCUGCAAUAGUUUCCUAUGCAAUCGUUAUAGAAGAAUAAAGGAAAUAAUCUUGGGAUAGUGAUUCAAUAAAUAAUAGGUCCCCUGUCUAGAGCGCACGCGUCCUUGAGCCACGCAGGUGCAUGAUGACGUCAUACCGUGGCUUCACUGCAGAUUGACCAAAGGAGCAUUAGUGAAAAAAAAACAGUGUAGCCCUGAGACAAUAGGAUGAUGUCUGGACCAAUGAGAACUGCCAGCAGGGGGCGCAGGAAUGCUCUUCUCACUUAGCCUCACGACCAAUGAGAACGGCCAGCAGGGGGCGCAAGAAUGCUCUUCUCUCUUAGCCUCUCGCAGGUGGCGGUAGGAGCGCGCAGAGGGCGCUACGAGCGCGCGCAUGCGUAGCACCCGUAGAGUGGCGCUUACGUCAGUCCACCUCUGGCUCUCGUUGGGAGGAGACGUGCGGUCGUUCGCUCCGUCGUCACUUGAUCCCUGGCUGUCGACGAGAGCAGUCGCAUCGGUCUGCGCUCCUACUGUGAGCUGUCCUAUCUUGCCCAGACAUGCCAUGAUGACGUCACAGCUGACGUCACAGGAUGUGCGGAACUGGUGCUGCGAUGCUUUGCAACCUGCCUCUGUGCUCCGUCGCCCAGCGACGGUCAGCGGCCGUUCCGGGCCGCUUUCUUCAAGAUGACGUCGUUGAUCUUCAACUAAACUCCUUCUCUCCACUC